Molecule: ribosomal RNA, 253 nt
Filed under: uncultured bacterium
Lineage: Bacteria
Description: partial 16S ribosomal RNA
Rfam family: Bacterial small subunit ribosomal RNA
Source: RNAcentral
GACAGAGGUGCCAAGCGUUAGGCGGAAUCACUGGGCUUAAAGCGUGUGUAGGCGGAUUUUUAAGUACCUUGUGAAAUCCCACAGCUCAACUGUGGAACUGCUCGGUAUACUGGAAAUCUUGAGCCACUUAGGGGCUGUCGGAACAAGCGGUGGAGCGGUGAAAUGCGUAGAUAUCGUAAGGAAGACCAGUGGCGAAGGCGGGUCUCUGGGCCGUAACUGACGCUGAGGAGCGAAAGCGUGGGGAGCGAACAGG